UAGGCUUAAAGCAAAGGGAGAUAAGCUUGUGUUCUAGAUUUGUAUUCUUAGUGGAGUACUGGUUCCAUUCCUGUUAUCGGUAGCCAUCUCUAAAGCUGCCCACAGUUCCGAGUUCAAUCCUUAUUGGUAUUGAUGUGAUUUCCGAGUUCCUAGGUGAAGUCUUGUUAACAGUGAUUUUCAACCUUGGGAACAGCAGUUACAUUCCGAUUGAUAAGUGCAAUGAUUACUAGUAGUUAGCCGGAUUCCCACUUGAUGUUUGGCUCCUUGUUUCGUUCUGUAUCUCUAUUGCUGGAUUCUCUAUAGCAGUAGCUCACUUAUAG
RNAcentral lists this long non-coding RNA (320 nucleotides) under Musa acuminata (dwarf banana). Its description in RNAcentral is "long non-coding RNA (MACU_LNC009902)". The record is from RNAcentral. Lineage: Eukaryota; Viridiplantae; Streptophyta; Magnoliopsida; Zingiberales; Musaceae.